UCCGAGGGGGGCAAGCGUUGUUCGGAAUUAUGGGGCGUAAAGGGCGCGUAGGCGGUGCGGUAAGUCACCUGUGAAAACUCUGGGCUUAACCCAGAGCCUGCAUCCAAAACUGGCGAACUGGAGUACUGGAGGGGAAAGCGGAAUUCCUGGUGUAGCGGUGAAAUGCGUAGAUAUCAGGAGGAACACCGGUGGCGAAGGCGGCUUUCUGGACAGUAACUGACGCUGAGGCGCGAAAGCCGGGGGAGCAAACAGG
RNAcentral lists this ribosomal RNA (253 nucleotides) under uncultured bacterium. RNAcentral's name for it is "partial 16S ribosomal RNA". It matches the Rfam family "Bacterial small subunit ribosomal RNA", at positions 524 to 776 of the family's 1533-position model. The record is from RNAcentral.